This 850-nucleotide ribosomal RNA is filed under the name uncultured archaeon. RNAcentral describes it as "bacterial SSU rRNA". It matches the Rfam family "Archaeal small subunit ribosomal RNA", at positions 21 to 872 of the family's 1478-position model. The record is from RNAcentral.
GNUCACUGCUAUCAGUGUUCGANUAAGCCAUNCAAGUCAAAUGUUCUUCGUGAACAUGGCGGACUGCUCAGUAACACGUGGAUAACCUGCCCUUAGGAUUGGCAUAACACCGGGAAACUGGUGAUAAUACCGAAUAGACCAUUUAUGCUGGAAUGCUUUUUGGUUCAAAGGCUUCGGCUGCCUAAGGAUGGAUCUGCGGCCUAUCAGGUAGUAGUGGGUGUAAUGUACCUACUAGCCUACGACGGGUACGGGUUGUGAGAGCAAGAGCCCGGAGAUGGAUUCUGAGACAUGAAUCCAGGCCCUACGGGGCGCAGCAGGCGCGAAAACUUUACAAUGCGGGAAACCGCGAUAAGGGGACACUGAGUGCCAGCAUAUUAUGUUGGCUGUCCACAUGUAUAAAAACCAUGUGUUAGCAAGGGCCGGGCAAGACCGGUGCCAGCCGCCGCGGUAACACCGGCGGCCCGAGUGGUGAUCACUUUUAUUGGGUCUAAAGGGUCCGUAGCCGGUUUGAUCAGUCUUCUGGGAAAUCUGACAGCUCAACUGUUAGGCUUUCAGGGGAUACUGUUAAACUUGGGACCGGGAGAGGUAAGAGGUACUACAGGGGUAGGAGUGAAAUCUUGUAAUCCCUGUGGGACCACCAGUGGCGAAGGCGUCUUACCAGAACGGGUCCGACGGUGAGGGACGAAAGCUGGGGGCACGAACCGGAUUAGAUACCCGGGUAGUCCCAGCCGUAAACGAUGUUCGCUAGGUGUCAGGGACGGUGCGACCGUUUCUGGUGCCGUAGGGAAGCCGUGAAGCGAACCACCUGGGAAGUACGGCCGCAAGGCUGAAACUUAAAGGAAUUGGCGGG